UACAGAGGAUGCAAGCGUUAUCCUGAAUGAUUGGGCGUAAAGCGUCUGUAGGUGGCUUUUUACGUCCUCCGUCAAAUCCCAGGGCUCAACCCUGGACAGGCGGUGGAAACUACCAAGCUGGAGUACGGUAAGGGCAGAGGGAAUUUUUGGUGGAGCGGUAAAAUGCGUAGAGAUCGGAAAGAACACCAACGGCGAAAGCACUCUACUGGGCCGAUACUGACACUAAGAGACGAAAGCUAGGGGAGUGAAUGGG
Molecule: ribosomal RNA, 253 nt
Filed under: uncultured bacterium
Lineage: Bacteria
Description: partial 16S ribosomal RNA
Rfam family: Bacterial small subunit ribosomal RNA
Source: RNAcentral